AUUGAACGCUGGCGGCAUGCCUUACACAUGCAAGUCGAACGGCAGCACGGGGGCAACCCUGGUGGCGAGUGGCGAACGGGUGAGUAAUACAUCGGAAUGUACCCAGUAGUGGGGGGAUAACUAGUCGAAAGAUUAGCUAAUACCGCAUACGCACUAUGGUGGAAAGCGGGGGAUCGCAAGACCUCGCGCUAUUGGAGCAGCCGAUGUCCGAUUAGGUAGUUGGUGGGGUAAAGGCCUACCAAGCCUGCGAUCGGUAACUGGUCUGAGAGGACGACCAGUCACACUGGGACUGAGACACGGCCCAGACUCCUACGGGAGGCAGCAGUGGGGAAUUUUGGACAAUGGGGGAAACCCUGAUCCAGCAAUGCCGCGUGUGUGACGAAGGCCUUCGGUUGU
RNAcentral lists this ribosomal RNA (396 nucleotides) under uncultured bacterium. RNAcentral's name for it is "bacterial SSU rRNA". It matches the Rfam family "Bacterial small subunit ribosomal RNA", at positions 30 to 426 of the family's 1533-position model. The record is from RNAcentral.